GGUAGGAUCAGUCUCUCGGUAUUCACCAACAUGGUAGACUGCUCAGGAUGAGAAGAUAAGUAGUUUAUGUGUAUAACAUAUUAUUUUGAUGCUAGUUGCGAGUCGGUGAUUUCCCGACUGGUGUAGAGUGCAGUGUUCCUUCAGCAGUGGAAGUGUGGCGCUGCAUCAACAGCCACGUGGUUCCAAAGACGAGGAAACGGCGCUUCUGACCGCCAGGGGAGAUUGAUGAGGCGCACAAUUGUCCGCUACGUCAACUUGUCCUUUGUCCUCACCCUCGCCAUGAUCACGGCAAGAGUCAAGAAGAUUCCCCACACUGGACCACAUUGUAGAAGCAGGCUGCCAGUACAUUCAAGACUGAGGGAAAACAAUCUGAAGUCCUGAUCUGCUAGGUGCAUCAGUCAUCAGGUUUUGUUACUCUCUCGGAAGAUUUGAGACUGAUGGCGAACAGUAAAAAGUUGGGUACACACCCUGCGAACCUGACUGUUGGAUAUUUUAGGCACCAUUCAUACACAUUUUGGAUAAGAGUUGGUAAUGACUGAUGCCCUGUUCCUGGCGUUGAAUUAUUUAGAAUACCUGCUUGUAAUGAGGACUAGGCACGUUUUUGCCUUGUUUUUUUUUUUACGGGAUUGAGUUCAAGUUUGAUGCUGGUUAUAUCCCCCGUGUGUGUGUGUGUGUGUGUGUCCUAUAGUUUAAUAUAUGUAUAUUAGCUUAAUUACCUAUUCAAAAUUGCUCAAAAGGAUCUUGCCACUUCAUAACUUAGAACUAUGCACCACAUAAGAGCUUAAACAACUGUAUUUAUUAUUGUUUCCAUAGCAUGAAUGGCAAUAUUUAGUGUGGAGACUGAUGAACAAGCUGCCACCACAAGCACUAAAAUAAAUAAAAUAAUAAAUAAAUAAAUAAUAAUUGUAAAGAUGAAUCUAUAAAAGUUACAACUUUACAAGAGGUAGUGAUGAUAUGGAAAAAUAAUUUUGGUUACAUAUAUAAAGCAAAAUUUUGGGAUGUAGUCACAACUAAACCAAGGUAUUCAUUCCAUGAAAAACAAGUGGCAUUACUUAAACCCUCAUGUGUCAUCGACCUCGUCCACUCUGGCUGGCUGACAGAAACAAAAGGUUACAGAAUGGCAUGAGUUGCAUUUGUAAGACAUUUAUGAUCCAUGAUAAAGUUGUCCCCAUCCCUUAAAACAACUUGAUUUAAAUAACAAGUUUUUAAAAAAUAAACCUUUGAAUUACAUACAUACAUACAUUAUAUAUAUAUAUAUAUAUAUCAUCUUCAUUUAUAUAAAAGUGGUGUUCUAGAAGUAGCUACCUCACUGGUCACAGACAUGCAUUAGAGUGGGGCGCUGAUGGAGGUGGUGACUGCUGCAGUAGUAGUGGCAGUUGUGUUGUGGUCAGAGUAGUACUUCGCAGUAGUGUUUUGCAUUGCUACGUAUGUACACCGAUUCUCGACAGCUUAGAUAAGUUACCAAUAAGCAAUGAUAACAAUAAUGACCGCAAUAACAAUAAAUAAAUUAUAAAAAAUCAACUAUAAUACAUACAUACAAGCUUCAGCUGUACCUUGUUUUCUGUUAAGUUCUCUCUCUUAUUCUUUCUUAGGAUUCCAUUACAUACAAAGUCCAUGCAUAUAUUUUACUUAAUAUACAGGCAUAUAUAAAAAAGAAAUUAAGUAAAUGUUUACAGUGAUGCUUCCAAGAACAGCAUCAUAUUUCUCUUCAGGUCUCCCUUCCCCCCAAAUGUGAACAGACACUUGAUGCUGCAACGGUGCAUUCCCUCACCACACGUCACUUGCUGAUGGCACGCCCGUCACAAAAAUAAAAACCAAAAAGACAGAUGGAUAGACUUUAAAAAGCAUCAUAUUCAAGAACAAACAAUAACACCUGGACAGAUAGAUGUGUGUAUGUAUCACCACUGUCUGCUGUGUGUGCAUGUGUGUGAGUAAAAGGAAAGGAAAAGAAAACCAAAACAACCACAAUGUUUACACACCCGUACACACACACACAAACACACACACACACACACACACACACACACACACACACACACACACACACACACACACACACACACAUCACCACCACCACCACAUAAAGCCACCACAACCACCACCACAAAGGCAACUGUUGUCAUACCCAACUGCUCGACAUCCACAGUAAGAGGGCAACAACAAGUUACUCCUGAACACAUUAUAAACAUCCAUAGCCAAGGACAACUCUAAACGUUCCCUAACUUUGCAUCCUUUACGAGCUCUGCAUAAAAGACCCACAUUAGAAACCCUACAACAUGACAGCAAAACUGACAUAAGGGAACCCAAAUAAAUAUUGUCUUAGGCAAUAUAGUGGUGGCAAUGAGCAGUGUCAGCAAGUUUUGAACAGUAGCUAGCAGCAGUAUACUUGUACACCUGACAGUACAAAUGAGGAUAACUCUAGUUGUAUGGCCUUAAAAAGUACUUCACAGCUUCCACCCAACAUAGGCAAAAAAGGGCUGUGUGUGUGUGUGUGUGUGUGUGUGUGUGUGUGUGUGUGUGUGUGUGUGUGUGUGUGUGUGUGUGUGUGUGUGUGUGUGUGUGUGUGUGUGU
Long non-coding RNA from Scylla paramamosain (green mud crab), 2571 nucleotides. RefSeq lists it as uncharacterized. The record is from RefSeq and is a predicted model, not a curated record. NCBI's taxonomy places the organism in Eukaryota, Metazoa, Arthropoda, Malacostraca, Decapoda, Portunidae. The transcript has 3 exons.